This 103-nucleotide ribosomal RNA is filed under the name Acanthosepion pharaonis. The record is from RNAcentral. Lineage: Eukaryota; Metazoa; Mollusca; Cephalopoda; Sepiida; Sepiidae.
AUCACGUUGAAACAUUGGUUCCUGUACGAUCACCGAAGUUAAGCAAUGUUGAUCCGUGUCAGUACCAAGAUGAGGGACCGCUUGAGAACACUGCGUACUGUAA